Papaver somniferum (opium poppy) is the source of this 2265-nucleotide long non-coding RNA. RefSeq lists it as uncharacterized. NCBI's taxonomy places the organism in Eukaryota, Viridiplantae, Streptophyta, Magnoliopsida, Ranunculales, Papaveraceae. The record is from RefSeq and is a predicted model, not a curated record. The transcript has 4 exons.
AAUCAAUGAACCAAUGAACUGUACAAUGCCCUUGAUCACUUUUAGCUAAGUUACUUGAUUUUUCAUUUUCUUUUAUCUCGCUGUCGCUGAAUAGGAUAUAUGAUUCUAUAUAUUAUAUAUGGCGUUUCCGAUUUCAGGUUCAUGCUUGGUGAAAAAGCAUAUAACAUGCUUGGCGAAAAGGCAUAGAUGGUAGUUAGGAAUAUGAUUACCAGAAAAGUAAGGGAAUUCAAAACACAUGGGUGGUGGUGGGUUUAGGACCCUCUCUAGAGAAUAUGGUUCCUGGGAUUGGGAUUCCCUUCCUACCAUCCAAAUAUGAUGUACGUGAUCACACCUAGAUGAUUUACACAAGGCCUUGAAGCUUUAUGAAGAAGAACAGGUAGCAGCUGGAUCCUAAACAAUUUUUUUUGGCAAACACUUGGAGGUAAUUCUGAUGGAAAGAAAAACCUUUAAAUCUGGCCGCUCAACUUAUUCAAAUCUUCAUCUGCUUUCAAACUACAUAACCUUUAAAUAUGGAGUGGGUCAUAUUCUUUGUUAUUUGCGGCUGUUCGAUGCAAGUUUUUUUUUUACAUAGUUUCUGGAUCAUUUUCCUCAUCUUUCAGAGCACUUUAAACACGCACCUGCUGUAGCUUAUUUGGGACGUCUCGCAGCUGAUUUAUGGGCGAUGGACGAAGUGAUUUUUCCUCCAAACAUAUUCAUAUUCGAUUGGAUUCUUAUCUUGGAAUUUAAGGGUUCAGAUGUAUUCUGGAGAACACCACAACCCUGAGUAUUUUAUGAAAUGGUAUCUGCUGUCUUAGCUCAAACAGAAGAGCACAUGGUUCUCAACCAUGUAGUUGUGGUUGACUCCUACAGAUGGCAUUAUAUGUGAGUAGGCAGCGCUGUAUACUGCCAAUGGUUUCGUUAUUUGAUUCUCUCGGAGUGGGACUCCAACAUAAGAUUUGGAUGAAUAAUAAACUCUUGGCUAUACUCUUGAGGUUUUGUUCUUGAAGAAGCACGAUUCUUCUGUCAGCGCAUAUUCAACCAGAUGAAGUUUUGCUACAGAGUUCUUCAUUUAAUUCUGAUAGGUGCACUGUGGUUUCAUUCAGUUUUUGAAGGGAUAACCAUUGGAAUUGCAGGUAUUCUACUAACCGUUGCAAUAUGCAACUGGACAAGACGUUCACCUACUUAGAAAUGAUCCUGGGCUUGAUUGAGGGUGGAGAGUGGUUCCACAUGGUACAUAAGAAAUGCACUAAAAAAGUUGAUUAUGAUGAUGAGUCUUCCUGCAGCAAGUGCAAAAAAGAUUUUGAAGAAGUGCCAUGGCAAUUGUAAUCCACAAAUUAAACCUAGCCGCAAGGGAUGCCACAUCAACUGCGGUAUUUACUGUGAUGGGAGAGACUGCGGAAAAAAAUGGCGGAAAGUAGAUUAGAUGCACUGCUGAUGAACAUGUUAAUUACAAGGUACACUGCAGCGAGGUAUGCACAAAUUAGCAUGGAUAAUUGUUAUGAUUGAAUGGAUGUUGUACGGUGGAAUCAUGUUCACCAAGUUAUAUUGUCUAAUUGGAGGUCAACUAAGCAGAGCAGGCAGAAAGUUGAUUUAACAAGAUCAAGAUGAAACUCUUAUUUUCAAAUUGGUCAUUAAGGAGUGCAGUAUAACCAACCAAUCUGGCAAAUUCACAGUUCUAAAAUUUUUCGAAGUCAAUUAAUUUUGAAUCGAAAGAUUCAGAUUCGGUUGUAGAUAACAAGGUACAACAUUAUUUAGGCACGGUAUGAUACGGAUUUCGUCCUGUCCACAGGAUCCAGACGCAGAAAAUGUUGUGCCACCUAUCAAGGAGAAAGAGGAAAAAGUUAAGAGAGGAAGGAAGAGGAAACCAACAAUCAAAGUUGGAGUAACAGCAUGAAAGCACCAAGGACACCAGUCAAAACCGGUCAAAGCCGGAUAACUAUCAGGGAGACGGGCUUCAAGAUGUCAUCCCAAGAAUCUUCCAAAUAAGAGAUAAAGAUAGUUGAUCCAUGAAUAUUCGAUCUUUCUGUUUGCCAAGCUCGACCUUUCGGGGGAGAAACCAAGGCCUUCGGACUGCAAAUUUAAAUUACCUCAAGGAGUUGUAAAUUACCACUGGACCAAGUGUUGUUCUAUGUAUACUUUUAACCAAGGAAUAUAGGAUGGCGUAGGACUGAGUGUGCAUAAAAAAAAUCAAAAAUAGGCUAAAUACAUUUGGUGAAUAAGAAUCUUAAAUUUCUAUGUAUACUUUUAACCUACAAAAAACUGAUGAUUUUUCUAAGUUUAAACCGU